Molecule: long non-coding RNA, 226 nt
Organism: Callorhinchus milii (elephant shark)
Lineage: Eukaryota; Metazoa; Chordata; Chondrichthyes; Chimaeriformes; Callorhinchidae
Exons: 3
Source: RefSeq, a predicted model, not a curated record
CUCAGUGACUGAGUGACCAGGACAUAGGCUGAGGUCAGGAUGCAGACAGCACGACUCGGGGUAGUUGCUCUUUGCUGCUGUGUGUGUGUGGUUACAGCACAGUUCACCAUCACUGUACCAGAGAAUCCCAUUACAGCAGCAGCCGGAGGUACGGCUGUGUUUACAGUGAAACCGUCUGGUGAGAGAAAAUCACCAGCGUCACCGUAACACAGAACAUUCCCAACCC